CCGGGCUUCAAAGACUAGCCGGUCAAAAUGCAUUGUCCUAUCAGGCGUUUUGGUUCGUCUUUUGAUUAGCCAGUCCGAGAACAUCAUUGUAUCCAUCAGCUAGUUUCUGGCUAGUCGUCCUAGCUAUUUUGAGGAAGGAGAUGGACGUUUUCACCCUUGGCUUAAAUCCAGAACCGAAGUAUGCCUACUACCGUCCUGCUACAGAGGCAGGAACAUGGCUGUGGGAGUAGCAUGUGAACGGAACGCGUGGAACAUGAUUCUCCUGAGAUCUACAGCUACAGAAACAGGACUGGACUGGAACGUAUGACCCAAUCGUUCCUUGUGUGGAUCUCUCUGAAGUACACAGCCUACGCCGACUUUCAAACGCUCUCCGCUGGUGUGUGUUGCCGGAGACUUGCUCAUUUGGUAUUUGAAUAUCUGGAGACAAACAGCCAAUCAGAUGAAAUGAACCCUAUAAAAUUUACACUCAAUAGGCCUCCAUUGCCAAGCGACCAGCGGCAGUCAGCUCCCAGCCUGGUGAAGGGGCCAGACCACCCAGGCUGGGUUGGAAGGGGCUUUUGGGCCCCCCACGCUCGCCCCUUUCUCCAUUCACACUGGCUUUUGGAGGCUGUUUGCAAUGCGACACAACAGUGGCACAACUCUUUAUUUUCCGUGGGGCCAACACUGUCAAUCUCUGCACAAAGGGCAAAAGCACGGCCUGAAGGACUUCCAAACAAUUUCAAGGAUGGAUUGAGGGUUUGUCAAGUGUUAUUACACAAUAGAAAUGUCCCUUUUGUGUUUAUUUAGCUGAAAAACAAGCAUAACAGAAACCUUUUUUAAGGGACAGUUUAGUUACAUGUCAAUAGUUAUAUAUAUAGUAUGCAUAUUAAUCAUUAGCUAUUUUUUGUUUACUUUUUGUAUUUAUAUAGUAUGUAUUAUA
Molecule: long non-coding RNA, 919 nt
Organism: Esox lucius (northern pike)
Lineage: Eukaryota; Metazoa; Chordata; Actinopteri; Esociformes; Esocidae
Exons: 5
Source: RefSeq, a predicted model, not a curated record